Molecule: long non-coding RNA, 445 nt
Organism: Harpegnathos saltator (Jerdon's jumping ant)
Lineage: Eukaryota; Metazoa; Arthropoda; Insecta; Hymenoptera; Formicidae
Exons: 3
Source: RefSeq, a predicted model, not a curated record
UGCAUACGUUAACUAAUACGAUUUAAAGUCUGUAGGUGGCGUAAAUGGUUAAUGACAUAUAUAAUAGACUGAGCAUAGCGGGUUUGGCAGAACGGUGAGAGAGGCAAGAUAUCGGGGAAGUUUUCUUUCCUUGUCUGCGCAGUCGAAUAGGCAAUCGUCUAGUGACAGCCAAUGGCACAGACUCAUGACAGCAAGAAAUACGCAUAAGCGUAGUUAUGUACGGGCAACAAGAUAAUAUAUAUAUGUAUUGCCCUUCAUACCAUGCGUUAUCGUACGACAAAUGUUGAAUCAUGACCAACAUUUCGUCCGACAUCGGACGAUGACGGACGGCCAAGCGAUUCGAUGAUACGAAGUAAAAUCCUGCUUUUUGAUUGGUUGCGGAGCGUCGUACGACGUACGUCGGAUGCAGUGUGAAUCCAACAUAUGCCUGGAGGUCUAAAAAAGG